Molecule: ribosomal RNA, 305 nt
Filed under: uncultured bacterium
Lineage: Bacteria
Description: bacterial SSU rRNA
Rfam family: Bacterial small subunit ribosomal RNA
Source: RNAcentral
UUUGCCUACGGGGCGCAGCAGUGAGGAAUAUUGGUCAAUGGGCGGGAGCCUGAACCAGCCAAGUCGCGUGAAGGAAGAAGGUACUUAGUAUUGUAAACUUCUUUUGUCGGGGAACAAAGGGCGCCACGUGUGGCGUUGUGAGUGUACCCGAAGAAAAAGCAUCGGCUAACUCCGUGCCAGCAGCCGCGGUAAUACGGAGGAUGCGAGCGUUAUCCGGAUUUAUUGGGUUUAAAGGGUGCGUAGGCGGUCCGGAAAGUCAGCGGUAAAAGCCCGGGGCUCAACCCCGGAGAGCCGAUGAAACUGUC